CAGCAGCCGCGGGAAUACAGAGGAUGCAAGCGUUAUCCGGAAUGAUUGGGCGUAAAGCGUCUGUAGGUGGCUUUUCAAGUCCGCCGUCAAAUCCCAGGGCUCAACCCUGGACAGGCGGUGGAAACUACCAAGCUGGAGUACGGUAGGGGUAGAGGGAAUUUCCGGUGGAGCGGUGAAAUGUGUUGAGAUCGGAAAGAACACCAACGGCGAAAGCACUCUGCUGGGCCGACACUGACACUGAGAGACGAAAGCUAGGGGAGCAAAUGGGAUUAGAUACCCCCUUAGUCCCUGUCUCUUAUAC
Molecule: ribosomal RNA, 301 nt
Filed under: uncultured bacterium
Lineage: Bacteria
Description: partial 16S ribosomal RNA
Rfam family: Bacterial small subunit ribosomal RNA
Source: RNAcentral